RNAcentral lists this ribosomal RNA (484 nucleotides) under uncultured bacterium. RNAcentral's name for it is "partial 16S ribosomal RNA". It matches the Rfam family "Bacterial small subunit ribosomal RNA", at positions 28 to 523 of the family's 1533-position model. The record is from RNAcentral.
GACGAACGCUGGCGGCGUGCUUAACACAUGCAAGUCGAACGAUGAACCCGGAGCUUGCUCCGGCGGAUUAGUGGCGAACGGGUGAGUAACACGUGAGUAACCUGCCCUUGACUCUGGGAUAACUGCUAGAAAUGGUAGCUAAUACCGGAUACGACCCUCGGUGGCAUCACCAGGGGGUGGAAAGAAUUUCGGUCAAGGAUGGACUCGCGGCCUAUCAGCUAGUUGGUGAGGUAACGGCUCACCAAGGCGACGACGGGUAGCCGGCCUGAGAGGGUGACCGGCCACACUGGGACUGAGACACGGCCCAGACUCCUACGGGAGGCAGCAGUGGGGAAUAUUGCACAAUGGGCGCAAGCCUGAUGCAGCAACGCCGCGUGAGGGAUGACGGCCUUCGGGUUGUAAACCUCUUUUAGUAGGGAAGAAGCGAAAGUGACGUUACCCGCAGAAGAAGCACCGGCUAACUCCGUGCCAGCCGCCGCGGUAA